This is a long non-coding RNA of Fukomys damarensis (Damara mole-rat), 445 nucleotides long. RefSeq lists it as uncharacterized. The transcript has 3 exons. The record is from RefSeq and is a predicted model, not a curated record. Lineage: Eukaryota; Metazoa; Chordata; Mammalia; Rodentia; Bathyergidae.
CCCAGCUUUGUCUCUCGCUUGUGCAGAGGUCAAGGCGGCCAACUGCAGAGCCGUGUGAGCACUCCAUGUGGGCGCGAACCUCAGCGCCCACCAGCUCUGACUCUGAGGAUCCCGGAACACCCUGGGCCCCAGGCAUGUGGCCGACUGCCUGCUGUUUUCUGGGUACAUUUUGUGAUUUCCCUGGGAGCAACUUGUGGAAAGAGCCAAGGCACAAGGCACGAAGUGCGUCACCGUCACCGUCACCGUAUUAGCUCAGAGCCACAGGAGGACGCCAAAGAUGCAGCGAGCUGGGUCCCCACCUACCCGAGGCCAGGCUUCGAGUGCCCGGAGGGAGGGGCUGCAGACCUCAAGAGAAAGCACACUGCGUAGUGCGGAGCCGCUGAGAAGUGGGACAGCUUUGGGCUACGUAAUCUGAUUACUCUGGUGCUCUGGGGGAGCUCCGGGU